RNAcentral lists this unclassified non-coding RNA (112 nucleotides) under uncultured Cryptococcus. RNAcentral's name for it is "sequence contains ITS1". The record is from RNAcentral. Lineage: Eukaryota; Fungi; Basidiomycota; Tremellomycetes.
AAGAUUGGCCGAAAGGCCUUAUCCUUAUAUCCCUCACCUCUGUGAACUGUGGACCCUCGGGUCUAUCUUAACAAACAUCAGUGUAAUGAACGUAUACAUAUAUAACAAAACA